CAACUUCCAAUUUUCUUAAUGAAAACAUGCUAGCUAGAGGUGAAAGUGUCUUCUUAAGCCACAGUGGUGGCCUUGAUACAGAUGGCCAUGAGCUGCCUCAACUGGUUUAUGUUUCUCAUGAGAAGUGACUUGGCUUUCAGCAUCACAAAAAAGGUGAAGCAAUGAAUGCAUAUAUUGGCUUUGGAUAAAUUGAAUAAGCAAGCAAAUUCCGAAGCUGGAACAGGACAUUGAGUUGCUUAAAGCAGAGGCUAAAAGAAAAGUUGAAUUUAGUUUUUAUGCUAUUGAAGAAACUCCAGAAGAUAUUGAGUGUGUAGAGUCUGGGAGCUCCUGAAACUUCAAGCUCCUUAGAAUCCAAUGAGGCCAUGAGAAUAGCAAAGCUUGCAAAGCUAGACACUGAAGUAAA
Molecule: long non-coding RNA, 403 nt
Organism: Rosa chinensis
Lineage: Eukaryota; Viridiplantae; Streptophyta; Magnoliopsida; Rosales; Rosaceae
Exons: 3
Source: RefSeq, a predicted model, not a curated record